RNAcentral lists this ribosomal RNA (360 nucleotides) under Macrocheles sp. MD1. Its description in RNAcentral is "SSU rRNA". It matches the Rfam family "Eukaryotic small subunit ribosomal RNA", at positions 714 to 1079 of the family's 1831-position model. Lineage: Eukaryota; Metazoa; Arthropoda; Arachnida; Mesostigmata; Macrochelidae. The record is from RNAcentral.
GCUGACUUCAUUGUUUGGCUUAUAAGAGUUAUCAAAUAUCACUUUGAUUAAAUUAGAGUGCUUAAAGCAAGUGUUUUACUUGAAUAUAAAUGCAUGGAAUGAUGGAAUAUGUUGUUGUUCUAUUUGUUGGUUUUUGAACGAUGAAAUGAUUGAAAGGAACUGUUGGGGGCAUUCGUAUUGUUGUGAGAGAGGUGAAAUUCUUAGACCACAGCAAGACGAACUACUGCGAAAGCAUUUGCCAGGAAUGUUUUCAUUGAUCAAGAACGAAAGUUAGAGGUUCGAAGGCGAUCAGAUACCGCUCUAGUUCUAACCAUAACCUAUGCCACCUAGCAAUUUGCUUAUGUAUGUUCCAUGACUAGG